UUGAAAGGGAAACGAUUGAAGUCAGUCAUACCAACGGGAAAUCAACCUCUUGAGCUCGGUCUCGUGGGUUUUGAAGAGUUUCAAAGCCUUCGGAUUCGCGAGAUUGGGAUCUCUUGGUGUACUUUUUCGUACGGUUAGUCAACAUCGGUUUUGUAUGUCAUAAAAUGACUGGAGGAAUGUAGCUUCGAUCUCGUAUUGAAGUGUUAUAGCCUUUGGUAGAUGUGAUGUUUGAGACCGAGGAUUGCAACGGAUACCCUUCAGGGCUAUUCGUCUGAUCUCUGAUACGUUGCCUUGAUGUUGAAAGCUCGCUUAUGAUGUUAGGGUAUUACGGUCAAAAGGUUAGAACGAAUUACAUUCGUUAAGGAUGUUGACGUA
Molecule: ribosomal RNA, 375 nt
Filed under: uncultured Glomeromycotina
Lineage: Eukaryota; Fungi; Glomeromycota
Description: LSU rRNA
Source: RNAcentral